This 439-nucleotide ribosomal RNA is filed under the name uncultured bacterium. RNAcentral describes it as "partial 16S ribosomal RNA". It matches the Rfam family "Bacterial small subunit ribosomal RNA", at positions 339 to 795 of the family's 1533-position model. The record is from RNAcentral.
CUACGGGUCGCUGCAGUGAGGAAUAUUGCACAAUGGGGGGAACCCUGAUGCAGCAACGCCGCGUGGAGGAUGACGCAUUUCGGUGUGUAAACUCCUUUUAUAUGUCAAGAAAAUGGCGGUAGCAUAUGAAUAAGCACCGGCUAACUCCGUGCCAGCAGCCGCGGUAAUACGGGAGGGUGCAAGCGUUACUCGGAAUCACUGGGCGUAAAGGACGCGUAGGCGGGUUGGAAAGUCAGGUGUGAAAUCCUACAGCUUAACUGUAGAACUGCACUUGAAACUUCUAAUCUAGAGUAUGGAGGGGGAGAUGGAAUUAGUGGUGUAGGGGUAAAAUCCGUAGAUAUCACUAGGAAUACCUAAAGCGAAGGCGAUCUCCUGGAACAUUACUGACGCUAAGGCGUGAAAGCGUGGGGAGCAAACAGGAUUAGAUACCCGCGUAGUC